RNAcentral lists this ribosomal RNA (509 nucleotides) under Mycetina cyanipennis. RNAcentral describes it as "partial 16S ribosomal RNA". It matches the Rfam family "Bacterial large subunit ribosomal RNA", at positions 1819 to 2600 of the family's 2925-position model. Lineage: Eukaryota; Metazoa; Arthropoda; Insecta; Coleoptera; Endomychidae. The record is from RNAcentral.
GUCUUUUUGACUAUAAUUUAAAGUCUCGCCUGCCCACUGAAAUUUAAAUGGCCGCGGUAUUUUGACCGUGCAAAGGUAGCAUAAUCAUUAGUUUUUUAAUUGAAAGCUGGAAUGAAUGGUUGGAUAAGGAAAAAACUGUCUCAAUUUAAAAUUUUUUAAUUUUAUUUUUAAGUAAAAAAGCUUAAAUGAAUUUAAAAGACGAGAAGACCCUAUAGAGUUUAAUAAAUAAGUUUAAUUUGAUUAUUUAGUAAUAUAUUUAUUAAUUUAAGGUUAUUUAUUUGGUUGGGGUGAUCGAAAAAUUUAAAUAACUUUUUUUUUAAAAAAACAUUAAUUAAUGAUUUAUUGAUCCAUAAAAAUGAUUAAAAGAUUAAAUUACCUUAGGGAUAACAGCGUAAUUUUUUCAGAGAGUUCUUAUCGAAGAAAGAGAUUGCGACCUCGAUGUUGGAUUAAAAUUAAUUGUUGGUGUAGAAGCUAAUAAAUUAGGUCUGUUCGACCUUUAAAAUUUUACA